Molecule: long non-coding RNA, 151 nt
Organism: Lingula anatina
Lineage: Eukaryota; Metazoa; Brachiopoda; Lingulata; Lingulida; Lingulidae
Source: RefSeq, a predicted model, not a curated record
CUGUAGAUACGUUUAUAUGCAGCAACAGGGUUGACAGUUACUCUUUUAAGAGUUAAAACCAAUGUUGCUGACUCAAAUCAAAGUGUUUUAUAGGGAACGUCUGUCUUUUAGCACGAGAACUGAGAGACGACUUCUUUGAACAACAAGAUGG